This is a small nucleolar RNA of Mercurialis annua (annual mercury), 71 nucleotides long. RefSeq annotates it as small nucleolar RNA Z105. The record is from RefSeq and is a predicted model, not a curated record. The transcript has a single exon. NCBI's taxonomy places the organism in Eukaryota, Viridiplantae, Streptophyta, Magnoliopsida, Malpighiales, Euphorbiaceae.
GGAGCAUAAUGAUGCAUUUGAAAUUUUCCGAUCAAAUUUAUGAUGGAAUUACAACCUCCUACUCAUACUGA